AGAUUGAACGCUGGCGGCAGGCCUAACACAUGCAAGUCGAGGGGUAGAGGAAGCUUGCUUCCUUGAGACCGGCGCACGGGUGCGUAACGCGUAUACAAUCUACCUUUACAGAGGGAUAGCCCAGAGAAAUUUGGAUUAAUACCUCAUAGUAUUUUCGAAUCGCAUGAUUUGAUUAUUAAAGUUCCAACGGUAAAAGAUGAGUAUGCGUCCCAUUAGCUAGAUGGUAAGGUAACGGCUUACCAUGGCAAUGAUGGGUAGGGGUCCUGAGAGGGAGAUCCCCCCACACUGGUACUGAGACACGGACCAGACUCCUACGGGAGGCAGCAGUAGGGAAUUUUGGACAAUGGGCGCAAGCCUGAUCCAGCAAUGCCGCGUGCAGGAUGAAGGCCUUCGGGUUGUAAACUGCUUUUGUACGGAACGAAGCGGUGAGCUCUAAUACAGUUUGCUAAUGACGGUACCGUAAGAAUAAGCACCGGCUAACCACGUG
This 487-nucleotide ribosomal RNA is filed under the name uncultured bacterium. RNAcentral describes it as "bacterial SSU rRNA". It matches the Rfam family "Bacterial small subunit ribosomal RNA", at positions 26 to 507 of the family's 1533-position model. The record is from RNAcentral.